AAAAAAACUCCUGUGGCUAGCUUGGUCUCUGCCCAAAGGGCCGCCUAGUUUUGUGCUGGGAACCCAGGGCCUUGGUGGUGUAGGCACAAGAAGGAAUAUCCUGUUCUGCAAGUUGCAAGGACCGUGGGGAAAGUGCAGUAUCUGGGCUGGAGUGCACGGUACAGUCCCUAAUGGCUUUCCCUGGCUGGGAGACUGAGCUCCCCAACCGCUUGCACUUCUCAGGGGUCACAGUAUACAAAGGGAAUAUUGAGUGAGACAAGUGGGAAGAGAAGACAAAGAAAGAAGGGACCAGACAUGGCUAGACGAAGAGGCUGGGGCAAUCAAGGAAGAUUUAAGAAAACUGAAGCAGAGAUUAAUACUCCACUGAUCCACUAAUUCCACGUUCCCAGAAACGGAAUGGGCCAAAUGACAAACCCUUUUGGCUAGUUUUCUUUUCAAAAUAAUCGGUUUCAAUAAAUACUGCAAUGUUGGUCUGCCCUUCCAAAACUCAGCUUUGCAGAAUCAUUCUACUAUAAUUUGAACUGCCGCACUCACUGUCUGGGUGGCUCACGAUCCAAGUCUCCCUCAGAGGAACUGGUGCAGUCAGAAGGUGACAACACAGUGGUUUACAGAUAACAGCUAAAUCUUCACUCUCAAUACACAGCACACAUAGGAGAACCCAAUAUGUAUUUUAAAUUGUAACUUCUUUUGUCCUGGUUAAUACAUAUUAAAACUUCUGGAUACAAGCAUUCCUUAACAGUCAGAGUCGAUAUUAUACAUUACUUUGUACUUUUACUGUACAAGCGUAAAACAUACAUCCAUGGUUAUAAGCAGCUGGUUGGUUCCCUUAGUUAAAACAUGCAAGUUUUGAUUCCUAUCAAUGUUAGCUAGCUUUCCUCUCUUAGUGGCUGAAAAUUCCUGAGCCCCUAAAUGACAUUUCAGAAAUGUGUGCCAGGAGUUACUAGGAGCUACUGGGAGUAGCGGCAGAGAUUGUACAGGCAAGAGCUAGUGUGAUGCAGGGACACUGUGCAAGUCGGGGCAGCUCUGGGUUGCGUCCUGCUUCUGACAGCUACUAACUGGUGGGUCAAGA
Molecule: long non-coding RNA, 1069 nt
Filed under: Homo sapiens (human)
Lineage: Eukaryota; Metazoa; Chordata; Mammalia; Primates; Hominidae
Description: HSALNT0190186
Source: RNAcentral